AGGGUGUAAACGCUGCAGACUUGGUGUUGGAAGUCCUUUGGGGGCAUUCAGUGCCGGAGAGAAGUUGUUAAGUCUGCUACUCGGGGAGUACGUCCGCAAGGAUGAAACUUAAAGGAACUGGCGGGGGAGCACCGCAACGGGAGGAGCGUGCGGUUUAAUUGGAUUCAACACCGUAAACUCACCAGGGAAGACUGUUACAUGAAAGCCGAGAUGAAGACUCUGCUAGAUUUUCAGAGAGGUGGUGCAUGGCGUCAGUGACU
Molecule: ribosomal RNA, 260 nt
Filed under: uncultured archaeon
Lineage: Archaea
Description: partial 16S ribosomal RNA
Rfam family: Archaeal small subunit ribosomal RNA
Source: RNAcentral